This 253-nucleotide ribosomal RNA is filed under the name uncultured bacterium. Its description in RNAcentral is "partial 16S ribosomal RNA". It matches the Rfam family "Bacterial small subunit ribosomal RNA", at positions 524 to 776 of the family's 1533-position model. The record is from RNAcentral.
UACAGAGGUCUCAAGCGUUGUUCGGAUUCAUUGGGCGUAGAGGGUGCGUAGGCGGCGCGGUAAGUCGGGUGUGAAAUCUCGGAGCUUAACUCCGAAACUGCAUUCGAUACUGCCGUGCUUGAGGACUGGAGAGGAGACUGGAAUUUACGGUGUAGCGGUGAAAUGCGUAGAUAUCGGGAGGAACACCAGUGGCGAAGGCGAGUCUCUGGGAUGAUACUGACGCUGAUGCUCGAAAGCUAGGGGAGCAAACGGG